AACAGUUUCAUGAUAAAUUGCUGAUAUUUUUUUAGUCAGGGGAGUACAGUAAUGCUGUCAAUAUCACCGUGGAUUUUCUUCCCACUGUACAACAUGAACUUUAUUUUUUACAGGUACGUAUGAUAUGAUUUUAAAUUCUGUAACUGAAUGACUGCAUCUCAUAAAACACCCCGCCACCCCCAAAGAUCUGAACUAACAGUCACACUUGACUUUUCUCCCCUGUUAGCAACAGCUUUCCUGAUAAAUACUUUACUAUAGAAAAAUGUACUUACUAAUUUAUGACUGAUAAAUGUGGGUUCUCCCACCUAGUUAUCUGAAGAUAAAUGCACUAACUGUAAGUCACUCUGGGUAAGAGCAUAUGCUAAAUGACUAAAAUGUCAAAUGUAAAAAUUUACAAACUCAUAAGAUGUUGAGAAUCCAGAUUUACAGUAUUAUUUAUAUAUUAUGUUAUACAGAUGGUGAUGUGAGAGAGUCCUGUCCAUCCCGUGACUGAAGGAGACUCUGUGACUCUGACCUGUACAUUUAGAUAUCAGGAAACAAAUCCUAACCCCAAGGCUGAUUUCUACAAAGAUGGAAUACUCAUCAAGAAUGAGACCACAGGAGAGAUGACCAUCCCUACAGUAUCCAAGUCAGAUGAAGGAUUCUAUAAGUGUAAAUCUGGUAAAGGAGAAUCACCAGAGAGCUGGGUGACAGUGAGAGUCCCUCCAGGUUCCGUUGUCUCCAUCUCUCUGACCAGGCUGCUGUGUGGUCUACUGGUGGUGUCUCCAUUUCUACUGGUGUCCAUCGUGCUGACGGUGAAAUGCUGCAGGGCUCGAGGUUUGUGUUCAACAGUCACAUCUCCUCAAGACCAGAUACCAUGUGAUGAUGUCAUUGAACAGAACGAAUCAUCAGUGUGAUCAUUACAGUAUGAACUGUAAGCUGAACAACCACUUUUCUGAUUGUUAAGUUUUUACCGUUGAUAUAUGAUAGUGUUUACUGAGUUUAAUAUCACUGAAUGGAAUUUCACAAAUGCUGAAUGUUAUGAUUUUGUAAGUUUACAUUUUCAGCUUUUGGAGGAUCGUAUGCUUUCCUUUGUUAUUGUUGAUUGAUGUAGAUAUAUUUUUUUUAAUAUUACACUUACCUGUCUUUAUUUCAGUUUGUUAAUUAAACAAGAGUGUAGUGCCUUUUUUAAUUUAAAAGUCGAAUUUGUAUAUGUUGUAUUUUAAAUACCGUAAUGCUUUUUAAAUGCAGGUGGAUAUAUACAGUACGUGAAUCUUUUCUGUUUUUUAUUCUAAUUUAAAUACUAAAGAUGUGUUUAUUCUUGAUUGGCCGACCUGCUCUAACAGUUAAGAUAGAACACGUAGCUAUAGUUUGUUAUUAAAAAUGUACACUUACAUAAUGCAGCUUUAAUGCUUAUUUUUAUAUUAAAGGUAGACUCAGCAAAAUGACAUUGCCACAAGAGCCACCGCAGAUAUUGAGAUGAGCGAGAUGCACGACUUCACAGGCACACACAGUAUCUGCACAUAUGCACGGGUUCACUUCAUGCUGUUCAGUCUGGAAGUCACAGGAUCGAAACAGAGGAGCAGUUGAGUAUCAUGCUUCAACGCUCUUAGUUGUUGUGGAAAUUGAACCACUAUGCAGUUUACUUUCUACAUCUACGUCAUAUCGCUGAGUCUACCUUUAAACUCCACUUACUUUUGACUUAUAUUCAUUUUGAAAUACUGUCUACUAAGUAUUUUGUAUUAAAAAAAUGCUUUACAGCAGAUAUACAUUUUCAACAUGUUAGUAUUUUGUAAAAUGGUUUCAGUAGUUGUUAAAAGAUGAGUGUUCCACUAUGGAACUUAAAAUGGAGAAGGUGUGAUGUAUGAAUUCUCAUAUAUCAAACAAUAUAUAAUAACUUGAUUUAAGGACAUAUUCAUUUUACUCUCUGUAUUUCUGCGUUGAAACAAUGCAUUUACAUCUUGAAUGUUCCUAUACAUUUCUUAUUACGUAAAGCAACACUUUCUAACUAAAUCUAUAUGCAAUAUAUUGCUGUCAGUCUUCUGUAAACCACAUUCAGAUUGACUUGUACUGAUAUGAACCCAUACAGAAGUGUUCCAUGUCUGUACUAUUAUGAUGAGAUAGAGAGAGGAAGGAAUAAGAGGGCACCCCCAGUAGACUGAGGGCUUAUGCUGUUGCUAUGUGACCAAUGACCAUAUUAGUUUCUAUAUUGUGAUCCACUAGAAUGUGGAGUAGUUACAGGCCUGUCCCUGAAGGGGGCGAUAAGAAACCCCAGAUGUUUACCUGGCUAUACCCACUCAAGGUGAAGUCUGACUGCUUUUCCCUGGUAACCUUUCUCUCUCUAUUUAUGUUUGCUCCUUCACAUGUUGUACAAGUGUCACACACUCUACAAAAAUACACUUUCAAAUACUUAGAGGUAAAUAGUUGGUAAAAAUGUGAAGAUGCUAAAAUGUUUGGAUUCAUGUAUUCAGCACAACAAUGUAAAUAUGUGAAUCAAAAUGAAACUUAACACUUUAUCCUGGAAACCCUUUUGUCGGGUCGCUCAAAAAGUUACAUUUUGCAGCUUUAACAGUAUUGCACUUUCCAUGUAGCCUACUUUUGGCCUGCUUUUCACCUAACCACCAAUCAAGCAACAUUUUUAACUAGUUUUUCAAAUCCUGUUUAUUUUGCACUGAAAAUAUAGGUCAAAUUAAGAUCCUACACCUGUAUGUGAUGUGAGAGUGAGUGACCAUCCUACAUUGAUGUUGAAUCUCUGUGAGAACCUGAGCUUGUAAAGCAUAUGGUGUGGUGGUGUGGUGUGCAUUUAACCAGGUCACCACUCAGGAACUAAAGAGUAGCGCUAACUCAGUGGUUGCAAAAUGUGCUGUAAAUGACAAUGAAUACAACAUGCUAUAUUUGUUGGAUGUGUUCUAGUAUCAAGUUGUGAUUAUUGUAAAUGGUUGAGAGUUCCGUCACUACAGUUAUAGUAAACUGAACUAAGAGAUUGAAUGGUGUUUGAGAUUUUGGUCUCUGUCCUUUCUUUGUAUCCAGAACAACAGGUUGAUGUUUAUUGGGAUGAAUCUUUUGUUGGAGGCAGAGUUGAGCAAUAUCCACUAGAUUGGCCAGCUGCAAAGUCUAAAUUGUCUACAUAACGAAAAAAUACAUGAAAACAAAAAUACGAUUUUUAUCCUAAUUUAGGGUCUGGCAUAAAGUUAGCAAUGUGGUAAAAGUUAGGGUUAGGUUUAGGUUAAAAAUCAAAAUCAGAUUUUAUGACUUUGUGGCUGUGCCAGAUAGUGACUACACUGCAGAGCUGCCUCCAGUACAUGAGUCAUCCUAAUACAUACAAACCUGCUGCAGAACAUGUCAAUGGCCAUUUCAAGCUGCAGUGGUAUACGGCAGUGGUAUACGGCUGAGGAAUGGUGCUAGAGUAAUUAAUGAAUGUACUUUGUUGGUUUACACUGACAUUGUUAACAAACAUUGUCAUAAAAUAGCAGUUUAUUUUGUGUUAUGAUGGGAUAAGACAGUGGCACUACCCUUAUGGAAAAAACACAUGCAUUUCACAUGUGAUCUCAUGUUAUCACAUGAUCUUAUGAGAAGUUACUGUGAUAACAAAAUGUAAAGUAUAUUGGAUUUAUAUAGAGCUUUUCUACUAACUGAGUUACUCAAAACGCUUUACAUAGUAGGGGGAAACUGGUUGAUGCAAGACAAAAUUGAUUACAUUAUUUAUUUUUCUCACCCAUCUACACACAAUACCCAUAAUGAGAAAGUGAAAACAUGUUUUUAGAAAUGUUUGCAAAUGUAUUGAAAAUGAAAUACAGAAAUAUCUUAAUUACAUAAUUAUUCACACCCUUGAGUCAUUACUUUAUAGAAUCAACUUUGGUAGCGAUUACAGCUGUGAGUCUUUCUGGGUAAGUCUCUAAGAGCUUUCCACUCCUGGACUGUGACAUAUUUUUCCAUUACUCUUUUUAAAAUUAUUCAAGCUCUGUAAAUUGGUUGCUGAUCAUAACGAGAAAAACAUUUUCUGGUCUUGCCAUAGAUUUUCAAGUAGAUUUAUGCCAAACUGUAAUUUAGACAAUCAUUCACUGUCUUCUUGGUAAGCAACUCCAUUGUAGAUUUGGCCUUGUGUUUUAGGUUAUUGGCCUGCUGAAAGGUGAAUUAAUC
Salmo salar (Atlantic salmon) is the source of this 4119-nucleotide non-coding RNA. Lineage: Eukaryota; Metazoa; Chordata; Actinopteri; Salmoniformes; Salmonidae. The record is from RefSeq and is a predicted model, not a curated record.